AGAUGAUAAAAUAGAAGCAUGGAAAGAUCCAGCAUUACACCCAAGGUUGGGCAGCAAAGAGAAGAUCUGAAGCCAGGGGCUACCUUUUGUCACAAUAUACUUUACAUCCCACCACUGAUGAAUGGAUUAAGAAAAUGUGGUAUCUAUACACAAUGGAAUUUUGUGCAGCCAUGAAGAAGAACGAAAUGUUAUCAUUCUCUGGUAAAUGGAUGGAAUUGGAGAACAUCAUUCUGAGUGAGGAAACUCAAUUGGAACUAGUAAAGUCCCUCCACAAAGAGGUUUCCAAGAGAUAAUGGAAGAACUGGAUGGCAUGUUUAAAAGUAGGUGGGCUGCCAAGUUAAUUUGUUGAGAUGGGAUCUGCUAACUCUUUCCCUGGGCUGGCCUUGAACCAAGAUCCUCCCAAUCUCCACCUCCCAAGUAGCUGGGAUUACAGACAU
Molecule: non-coding RNA, 437 nt
Organism: Castor canadensis (American beaver)
Lineage: Eukaryota; Metazoa; Chordata; Mammalia; Rodentia; Castoridae
Source: RefSeq, a predicted model, not a curated record